RNAcentral lists this ribosomal RNA (253 nucleotides) under uncultured bacterium. RNAcentral's name for it is "partial 16S ribosomal RNA". It matches the Rfam family "Bacterial small subunit ribosomal RNA", at positions 524 to 776 of the family's 1533-position model. The record is from RNAcentral.
UACGGAGGGUGCGAGCGUUGUUCGGAAUUACUGGGCGUAAAGCGCGUGUAGGCGGCCUCUUCAGUCUGGUGUGAAAGCCCGGGGCUCAACCCCGGAAGUGCAUUGGAUACUGGGAGGCUGGAGUACCGGAGAGGAGGGUGGAAUUCCUGGUGUAGCGGUGAAAUGCGUAGAUAUCAGGAGGAACACCUGUGGCGAAGGCGGCCCUCUGGACGGAUACUGACGCUGAGACGCGAAAGCGUGGGGAGCAAACAGG